RNAcentral lists this ribosomal RNA (271 nucleotides) under uncultured bacterium. RNAcentral's name for it is "partial 16S ribosomal RNA". It matches the Rfam family "Bacterial small subunit ribosomal RNA", at positions 524 to 794 of the family's 1533-position model. The record is from RNAcentral.
UACGUAGGGUGCAAGCGUUGUCCGGAAUUAUUGGGCGUAAAGAGCUCGUAGGCGGCUUGUCGCGUCUGCUGUGAAAACCCGAGGCUCAACCUCGGGCUUGCAGUGGGUACGGGCAGGCUAGAGUGCGGUAGGGGAGAUUGGAAUUCCUGGUGUAGCGGUGGAAUGCGCAGAUAUCAGGAGGAACACCAAUGGCGAAGGCAGAUCUCUGGGCCAACACUGACGCUGAGACGCGGAAGCUAGGGUAGCAAACGGGAUUAGAUACCCCUGUAGU